GAUGAACGCUGGCGGUGUGCCUAAUACAUGCCAGUCGAGCGAACAGAUGAGGAGCUUGCUCCUCUGACGUUAGCGGCGGACGGGUGAGUAACACGUGGAUAACCUACCUAUAAGACUGGGAUAACUUCGGGAAACCGGAGCUAAUACCGGAUAAUAUAUUGAACCGCAUGGUUCAAUAGUGAAAGACGGUUUUGCUGUCACUUAUAGAUGGAUCCGCGCCGCAUUAGCUAGUUGGUAAGGUAACGGCUUACCAAGGCAACGAUGCGUAGCCGACCUGAGAGGGUGAUCGGCCACACUGGAACUGAGACACGGUCCAGACUCCUACGGGAGGCAGCAGUAGGGAAUCUUCCGCAAUGGGCGAAAGCCUGACGGAGCAACGCCGCGUGAGUGAUGAAGGUCUUCGGAUCGUAAAACUCUGUUAUUAGGGAAGAACAAAUGUGUAAGUAACUAUGCACGUCUUGACGGUACCUAAUCAGAAAGCCACGGCUAACUACGUG
This 497-nucleotide ribosomal RNA is filed under the name uncultured bacterium. Its description in RNAcentral is "partial 16S ribosomal RNA". It matches the Rfam family "Bacterial small subunit ribosomal RNA", at positions 28 to 507 of the family's 1533-position model. The record is from RNAcentral.